GGGUAGUAAGCUACACUUAGUAAAGGCAAUCCUUUAUUUUCAGGUACCAGUUAAAAAACAUUGAAGCAUUUAACAUCAAGCUUCAAUAAUUCUGUGACACAUUCGUUAACUAGAUACAUUCGAGGAACAAAAUUAACGUUAGAGGAGGACUCUGAUCAUAACUUGAACUGAAAGGAACGAAAUACCCAGAUGAAACUUCAAAUUCGACGCAUAUAGAAAACUCCACUUGCUACUCAGUUCUCGAGAUCAAAACCAAUAAUGAAAGACUAA
RNAcentral lists this unclassified non-coding RNA (270 nucleotides) under Hevea brasiliensis (rubber tree). Lineage: Eukaryota; Viridiplantae; Streptophyta; Magnoliopsida; Malpighiales; Euphorbiaceae. The record is from RNAcentral.